AGAGUUUGAUCCUGGCUCAGGAUGAACGCUAGCGGCAGGCCUAACACAUGCAAGUCGAGGGGCAGCACAGGUAGCAAUACUGGGUGGCGACCGGCGCACGGGUGAGUAACGCGUAUGCAACCUACCUUUAACAGGAGAAUAGCCCCGAGAAAUCGGGAUUAAUACUCCAUAUCAUUUAUGAAUCGCAUGGUUUAUAAAUAAAAGUUACGACGGUUAAAGAUGGGCAUGCGUGACAUUAGCUAGUUGGUGAGGUAACGGCUCACCAAGGCUACGAUGUCUAGGGGUUCUGAGAGGAUUAUCCCCCACACUGGUACUGAGACACGGACCAGACUCCUACGGGAGGCAGCAGUGAGGGAUAUUGGUCAAUGGUCGCAAGACUGAACCAGCCAUGCCGCGUGCAGGAUGAAGGUUCUAUGAAUCGUAAACUGCUUUUCUAAGGGAAGAAACCUACUUACGUGUAAGUAGUUGCCGGUACUUUAGGAAUAAGCAUCGGCUAACUCCGUGCCAGCAGCCGCGGUAAUACAGAGGGGGCAAGCGUUAUUCGGAAUUAUUGGGCGUAAAGGGCGCGUAGGCGGUCUUUUAAGUCAGAUGUGCAAUCCCCGAGCUCAACUUGGGAACUGCAUCUGAGACUGGAAGACUCGAGUGCUGGAGAGGGUGGUAGAAUUCCACGUGUAGCGGUGAAAUGCGUAGAGAUGUGGAGGAAUACCAGUGGCGAAGGCGGCCACCUGGACAGUAACUGACGCUGAGGUGCGAAAGUGUGGGUAGCAAACAGGAUUAGAUACCCUGGUAGUCC
RNAcentral lists this ribosomal RNA (793 nucleotides) under uncultured bacterium. RNAcentral's name for it is "bacterial SSU rRNA". It matches the Rfam family "Bacterial small subunit ribosomal RNA", at positions 8 to 796 of the family's 1533-position model. The record is from RNAcentral.